This 395-nucleotide ribosomal RNA is filed under the name uncultured bacterium. RNAcentral describes it as "partial 16S ribosomal RNA". It matches the Rfam family "Bacterial small subunit ribosomal RNA", at positions 523 to 918 of the family's 1533-position model. The record is from RNAcentral.
AUACGUAGGGUGCAAGCGUUAAUCGGAAUUACUGGGCGUAAAGCGUGCGCAGGCGGUUUUGUAAGACAGUGGUGAAAUCCCCGGGCUCAACCUGGGAACUGCCAUUGUGACUGCAAGGCUGGAGUGCGGCAGAGGGGGAUGGAAUUCCGCGUGUAGCAGUGAAAUGCGUAGAUAUGCGGAGGAACACCGAUGGCGAAGGCAAUCCCCUGGGCCUGCACUGACGCUCAUGUACGAAAGCGUGGGGAGCAAACAGGAUUAGAUACCCUGGUAGUCCACGCCCUAAACGAUGUCAACUGGUUGUUGGGGAUUUAUUUUCUCAGUAACGAAGCUAACGCGUGAAGUUGACCGCCUGGGGAGUACGGCCGCAAGGUUAAAACUCAAAUGAAUUGACGGGG